CCGGAUUGGAGUCUGCAACUCGACUCCAUGAAGUCGGAAUCGCUAGUAAUCGUAGAUCAGAAUGCUACGGUGAAUACGUUCCCGGGCCUUGUACACACCGCCCGUCACACCAUGGGAGUGGGUUGCAAAAGAAGUAGGUAGCUUAACCUUCGGGAGGGCGCUUACCACUUUGUGAUUCAUGACUGGGGUGAAGUCGUAACAAGGUAACCGUAGGGGAACCUGCGGUUGGAUC
This 232-nucleotide ribosomal RNA is filed under the name Bacillus thuringiensis. RNAcentral describes it as "partial 16S ribosomal RNA". It matches the Rfam family "Bacterial small subunit ribosomal RNA", at positions 1293 to 1524 of the family's 1533-position model. Lineage: Bacteria; Bacillati; Bacillota; Bacilli; Caryophanales; Bacillaceae. The record is from RNAcentral.